GGGGAAAGGAACAAUUGGAGGAUUGUGGUCCAUCACCUGGUAUAGCCGGAUGCAGCACAAGCACAAGCCAGGAUCCAUCCUGCUGUAGGAGAUAAGGUCCCAUAGGCCUUGAGCAUCAAAAGAGGGAACUGGCAAAGCAGUCCCUGAGCUAGCUCUUCCAGUAUCAGCACAUCAGUAUUCAGGAGUCCAACUGCUGCUGUUUGCAAAUCUGUGUAGAUGAAUGCAGUCCAAAAUGUACAAGUUGGACCUAAAUAUUAAACUCUGUUUACUGUAGAAUUAAAGGUAAGUCUUGAACAAACAAAGAGUGAAAAAUAUGAUUCUACAAAUUUGAGCAAAUAUAAACUUCUGAUUUAAAUAUGAUGGGAAAAAUGAUCUUCCUACUUUUUCUCUGAC
RNAcentral lists this long non-coding RNA (393 nucleotides) under Anas platyrhynchos platyrhynchos (common mallard). Its description in RNAcentral is "lncRNA (ENSAPLG00000023061.1)". The record is from RNAcentral. Lineage: Eukaryota; Metazoa; Chordata; Aves; Anseriformes; Anatidae.